ACCCAAUGUAUAGAGAUAUACAUUACCUAUAUAGGAGCGAACGAGGGGAAUUGAAACAUCUUAGUACCCUCAGGAAAAGAAAUCAAUAGAGAUUGCGUCAGUAGCGGCGAGCGAAAGCGCAAGAGGGCAAACCCAGUGCUUGCACUGGGGGUUGUAGGACUGCAAUGUGCAAGAGGUGAGUUUAGCAGAACAUUCUGGAAAGUAUAGCCAUAGAGGGUGAUAGUCCCGUAUGCGAAAAACAAACCUUAGCUAGCAGUAUCCUGAGUAGGGCGGGACACGAGAAAUCCUGUCUGAAGCUGGGUCGACCACGAUCCAACCCUAAAUACUAAUACCAGAUCGAUAGUGCACAAGUACCGUGAGGGAAAGGUGAAAAGAACUGAGGUGAUCAGAGUGAAAUAGAACCUGAAACCAUUUGCUUACAAUCAUUCAGAGCACUAUGUAGCAAUACAGUGUGAUGGACUGCCUUUUGCAUAAUGAGCCUGCGAGUUGUGGUGUCUGGCAAGGUUAAGCAAACGCGAAGCCGUAGCGAAAGCGAGUCUGAAUAGGGCGCUUAGUCAGAUGCUGCAGACCCGAAACGAAGUGAUCUAUCCAUGAGCAAGUUGAAGCUAGUGUAAGAACUAGUGGAGGACUGAACCCAUAGGCGUUGAAAAGCCCCGGGAUGACUUGUGGAUAGGGGUGAAAGGCCAAUCAAACUUCGUGAUAGCUGGUUCUCUCCGAAAUAUAUUUAGGUAUAGCGUUGUGUCGUAAUAUAAGGGGGUAGAGCACUGAAUGGGCUAGGGCAUACACCAAUGUACCAAACCCUAUCAAACUCCGAAUACCUUAUAUGUAAUCACAGCAGUCAGGCGGCGAGUGAUAAAAUCCGUCGUCAAGAGGGAAACAACCCAGACUACCAGCUAAGGUCCCUAAAUCUUACUUAAGUGGAAAACGAUGUGAAGUUACUUAAACAACCAGGAGGUUGGCUUAGAAGCAGCCAUCCUUUAAAGAAAGCGUAAUAGCUCACUGGUCUAGUGAUUUUGCGCGGAAAAUAUAACGGGGCUAAAGUAAGUACCGAAGCUGUAGACUUGACUUUGUCAAGUGGUAGGAGAGCGUUCUAUUUGCGUCGAAGGUAUACCGGUAAGGAGUGCUGGAGCGAAUAGAAGUGAGCAUGCAGGCAUGAGUAGCGAUAAUUAAUGUGAGAAUCAUUAACGCCGUAAACCCAAGGUUUCCUACGCGAUGCUCGUCAUCGUAGGGUUAGUCGGGUCCUAAGUCGAGUCCGAAAGGGGUAGACGAUGGCAAAUUGGUUAAUAUUCCAAUACCAACAUUAGUGUGCGAUGGAAGGACGCUUAGGGCUAAGGGGGCUAGCGGAUGGAAGUGCUAGUCUAAGGUCGUAGGUGCUUAUACAGGCAAAUCCGUAUAAGAAUACACCGAGAACUGAAAGGCUUUUUGAAGUCUUCGGAUGGAUAGAAGAACCCCUGAUGCCGUCGAGCCAAGAAAAGUUUCUAAGUUUAGCUAAUGUUGCCCGUACCGUAAACCGACACAGGUGGGUGGGAUGAGUAUUCUAAGGCGCGUGGAAGAACUCUCUUUAAGGAACUCUGCAAAAUAGCACCGUAUCUUCGGUAUAAGGUGUGGUUCGCUUCGUAUUAGGAUUUACUCCGAAAGCGAAGAAACUUACAACAAAGAGUCCCUCCCGACUGUUUACCAAAAACACAGCACUCUGCUAACUCGUAAGAGGAUGUAUAGGGUGUGACGCCUGCCCGGUGCUCGAAGGUUAAUUGAUGGGGUUAGCAUUAGCGAAGCUCUUGAUCGAAGCCCGAGUAAACGGCGGCCGUAACUAUAACGGUCCUAAGGUAGCGAAAUUCCUUGUCGGUUAAAUACCGACCUGCAUGAAUGGCGUAACGAGAUGGGAGCUGUCUCAAAGAGGGAUCCAGUGAAAUUGUAGUGGAGGUGAAAAUUCCUCCUACCCGCGGCAAGACGGAAAGACCCCGUGGACCUUUACUACAGCUUGACACUGCUAUUUGGAUAAGAAUGUGCAGGAUAGGUGGGAGGCUUUGAGUAUAUGACGCUAGUUGUAUAUGAGCCAUUGUUGAGAUACCACUCUUUCUUAUUUGGGUAGCUAACCAGCUUGAGUUAUCCUCAAGUGGGACAAUGUCUGGUGGGUAGUUUGACUGGGGCGGUCGCCUCCCAAAUAAUAACGGAGGCUUACAAAGGUUGGCUCAGAACGGUUGGAAAUCGUUCGUAGAGUAUAAAGGUAUAAGCCAGCUUAACUGCAAGACAUACAAGUCAAGCAGAGACGAAAGUCGGUCUUAGUGAUCCGGUGGUUCUGUGUGGAAGGGCCAUCGCUCAAAGGAUAAAAGGUACCCCGGGGAUAACAGGCUGAUCUCCCCCAAGAGCUCACAUCGACGGGGAGGUUUGGCACCUCGAUGUCGGCUCAUCGCAUCCUGGGGCUGGAGCAGGUCCCAAGGGUAUGGCUGUUCGCCAUUUAAAGCGGUACGCGAGCUGGGUUCAGAACGUCGUGAGACAGUUCGGUCCCUAUCUGCCGUGGGCGUAAGAAGAUUGAAGAGAUUUGACCCUAGUACGAGAGGACCGGGUUGAACAAACCACUGGUGUAGCUGUUGUUCUGCCAAGAGCAUCGCAGCGUAGCUAAGUUUGGAAAGGAUAAACGCUGAAAGCAUCUAAGCGUGAAGCCAACUCUAAGAUGAAUCUUCUCUAAGCUCUCUAGAAGACUACUAGUUUGAUAGGCUGGGUGUGUAAUGGAUGAAAGUCCUUUAGCUGACCAGUACUAAUAGAGCGUUUGGCUUAUCUUUAAUAAAGCAU
RNAcentral lists this ribosomal RNA (2793 nucleotides) under Campylobacter coli. RNAcentral's name for it is "partial 23S ribosomal RNA". It matches the Rfam family "Bacterial large subunit ribosomal RNA". The record is from RNAcentral. Lineage: Bacteria; Pseudomonadati; Campylobacterota; Epsilonproteobacteria; Campylobacterales; Campylobacteraceae.